Juglans microcarpa x Juglans regia is the source of this 643-nucleotide long non-coding RNA. RefSeq lists it as uncharacterized. NCBI's taxonomy places the organism in Eukaryota, Viridiplantae, Streptophyta, Magnoliopsida, Fagales, Juglandaceae. The transcript is spliced from 3 exons. The record is from RefSeq and is a predicted model, not a curated record.
UUCAUGACUCUGUAAAGAUGGAAAGCUACAACAAGCUAUAAGCUAUAUAUGGAGAUUCUUGACAGGAGAGAGAGCUUGAGAGAUUGACAGAGGGGGAGAGAGAGUUUGAGGAGAGAGAGCUUGAGAGAUUGACUGAGGGGGAGAGAGAGUUUGAGGAGAGAGAGCUUGAGAAUGACUGCCUUGGCAAUAACCAAACAAAGUGCAAGUAAUUCAUCUGCAAUAAACACAAAAGCCUUCAAUUAAUACCCACCCAGUUCCUCGGCAAACUAUUCAAAUCAGGAAUUAAGCCCCUACUGGCUGCAUAGGAUUCUUCACACACCCAAACAAUAAAAUCACUACAAUGCCAUGGCAUGCACUCUAUAAUCAACAAAACAAAUAAUACAGUGCAAUCGAUGACGAAACAAUAAUAUUCGUUGCGGGGAGAGCACUUGAGGGGUGAGAAAAAGUGAGAAGAGAGAAAAGAGCGCGAACAAGCAGAGAGAGAUGUGAGUGAUUGCAUGGGACUUACUUAUUUGGUAUACAGUUCAUUAUUUCUUACUUAGAAUGCAGACGUGUCAAUAUUUUAUUGAAAUGUGUAAAUCCUACUUGUUUCACCCAUCCGGUUUGACGUUAAACUCUUUAAAAUAUUCUCAACAUUCAAUCU